GGAGGAAUAUUGGUCAAUGGGACGGAAGUCUGAACCAGCCAAGUAGCGUGCAGGAUGACGGCCCUAUGGGUUGUAAACUGCUUUUAUGUGGGAAUAAGGUCAGGGACGUGUCCCUGUUUGCAUGUACCACAGGAAUAAGGACCGGCUAAUUCCGUGCCAGCAGCCGCGGUAAUACGGAAGGUCCGGGCGUUAUCCGGAUUUAUUGGGUUUAAAGGGAGCGUAGGCCGGAGGGUAAGCGUGUUGUGAAAUGCAGUUGCUCAACAUCUGCACUGCAGCGCGAACUGUUCUCCUUGAGUGCGCAGGAAGUAGGCGGAAUUCGUCGUGUAGCGGUGAAAUGCUUAGAUAUGACGAGAACUCCGAUUGCGAAGGCAGCUUUCCAGCGCGCUA
This 387-nucleotide ribosomal RNA is filed under the name uncultured Prevotella sp. RNAcentral describes it as "bacterial SSU rRNA". It matches the Rfam family "Bacterial small subunit ribosomal RNA", at positions 355 to 739 of the family's 1533-position model. The record is from RNAcentral. Lineage: Bacteria; Pseudomonadati; Bacteroidota; Bacteroidia; Bacteroidales; Prevotellaceae.